Lolium perenne is the source of this 1625-nucleotide non-coding RNA. The record is from RefSeq and is a predicted model, not a curated record. NCBI's taxonomy places the organism in Eukaryota, Viridiplantae, Streptophyta, Magnoliopsida, Poales, Poaceae.
AGGAUUAGUGCUUUUGGUGAUCCAAUUUGGCAAGAACACGAAGAAGGCUGAGUUGGUGAUGGCCCCUUAUGAGAGUGGCACUGGUAACGGGAAGCUUCUAUGACGUUGAAGAGGCUGCUGAGCAACCCACAGCUGCCUCCUCUCUUCCUCCCAAUCGGAAUGGAGCGGCAGCAAGCUGGGUAGGACGGCCCCUCAAGUGAAGAACCGGUUGGAAGCGGCGACAGCUCCCGCUGUUGGAAGCGACGGGGGUGACUGGACGCGGCCGAGCGGCAGCAUGGGCUGCAGGGAAUGGUGGCUGGGGAACACACUAACGGGUCCAUGGGGCAGGUCGCAGGCUCGCAUCCAGCCUCGAAUUCAUGGGAGCCCUGCUCCAGCGUGAAGGGCAGGAUUGGAUACAACAUGGUCAUUUAGGAUGGCGUCAACACGGAGAGUGGUGGCAGCGCGACGCCUCGAGCUCGAGAAGUCGUCCAUAGCUGGCCUGGGAUCGAGAUCUGGUAGACCGCUCGGCCCCGGCAAUGUCCACGGCGCUGCGAACCCCGGUCGGAACACAUCAGCCUGUUCUCAUUUAACUCCCCUCGCUGGUUGAGCUUCUCUUUAUCAUUUCAUCCUGAUUUUUUUUACUCAAAUAUGUCUUGUUUUGGAUGAUUGCUGGGCCGAAUAUAACAGGGAUCAUAAGGUGUGGGGAUAAACUUGACACAAAUCAAUUGCUUAUAUCAUUUUGAGUAGAGAGCAAAUGUGAAAAUAUAUUUUUACAGGAUUCAAUAAAUCCAUUUAUUCUUGCUAUACAUCAAUAGAUUCAUGUUAACUGCUACGUUGUGCAAAAUAAAUCAUGUGCGUGUGCGUGCACGUGCAUAAAUCUGCUCUCCUGAAAGUGAUGAAAUAUCUUUUUUUUCUUGCAGCCUUCCGUGAUUACCAGGAUUUUGAACUCAUAAAGCUUCUUUGCAUAUUCGUUAUGAUUUUUGUGGUGUGGCGAGAAUGGGUAUUUUACGAGUACGAGCCAAAGUUGUGCAGGAUACUUUAGAACGGAACUAGGACAUCAACUGUCAAGUGGUUUGGUGCUAAGGGUGACUACAAUGUUCUUGUUAUGUCCGUGUUGGGGCCAAGCCUGGAAGACCUUUUCAGCUCUUGCAACAGAAAACUGUGACUCAAAACUUUUGUUAUGCUUGCUGAUCAACUGGUAUGCUCUACAACUAAGCUUAGUUAUUCUUUGCCAUUUUGUUUUUAUUUGUUAAAUUGCAGAGAGAGCGGUCAUUUAGCCUGGACAGCUUGAUGUGAGGGUGUAACUGCUUGCUUCUCUCCCAAAUAAGUUUCCUGAAGAUUUGUUAGUUGUGCAUUUACAGAUUUAUUUCUAGGCCUCCAGGGUAUCAUGUUGUUGUACGAGCAGGUGAUUCUGAAAGUACUGCACCCGAAUGUUCCUCCAUGAAUGGAUUUUAGCUGAUGCUUUUGUUGUGUAUGGAGAAGUUUUGAAGUUUAUGUAGGCCUUUUGUACACUUAGGCACAAUGUUCAGACAUGUGCUACUGAUUUCAAAGUAGAAAUAAACGUUUGCUUAAUUACAUACUUGCUUAUGGAACCUAGCUUUACAUAUGUAAGGCUACUCCUGUGUAACUUGGGCCUCUAUGUGGUU